ACAGGGCCAUUACCACAAAGGUGAUGCGGUAUUAGAAAUGAAAUGGUAUUAUGCAAAUAUUGAAUAAAUUGGGCUGUUCAGGAUCCAAUUU
This is a long non-coding RNA of Etheostoma cragini (Arkansas darter), 91 nucleotides long. RefSeq lists it as uncharacterized. The transcript has 3 exons. Lineage: Eukaryota; Metazoa; Chordata; Actinopteri; Perciformes; Percidae. The record is from RefSeq and is a predicted model, not a curated record.